UAGCUCUAAAGUUUAACUAGGUAAGAAGCUCUACAGGGAGCUGGUUAGGUCCCUUGUUAUGGUAUGGGAGGCUCUGAGAUAGGGUCUGUUAAAAGCACGCCAGUGGUGUCUGAGCAAGGCAGACAAGUGAGUAGCUCAGCAGAGAAAGGAGAAGCUUGAAAACCAAAGGAAGAGUUAAACAUAGGCCAUGGAGCAGCACACAGUUGCCUGGAGGUAGGAAGUGGCCCAGGGAAAGAAACAGCAGCACAUCUGAAGAAACACUUAACUGCCCAGUACACAGUCCUUGCACUAGAAGCUGGGGGUUACCCUACCAGCCCUGAAGAAGGGGCAUACAGGCCCAACUGAAAGAAUACUGAACCUGGGAGGUUGAAGACUGACUUUUAAAGUGGUACCCUGCCUUCGUGCAAGUGGCUCUUCACCUAGCAAAUGGAUUCUGAUUCCAGAAAGGAGCUUGGAUCACACACACACAGAGCAUCCAAGAUUACAGGCCAGACAAGCCUGCAGCGUUACACAUACAGACAGCCCAGUUCUCCACCUAUCAGCUCACCUCUCCCCCUGAGCCUCGCUGCCAAGGGGCAGCAGGGAAGGCACCUAAAUCAUGUAACGGGAGGGCAGCCUGUGAUGGCUUGGAACUGCUGUAAGUUACUCCUAUGUCGCCUUCUCUCCCUCUGCUGCCACCACAUGGGGCAUGACUGAGUCUCUUGCAUCUGAGGAUCACCACAACCCGCUGUGAAAUGUGGACAAGCCCAUCUCUGAAGACCAACACAAAACCCUUAAACAACAGAAGGUCCAGUAGACAAAAUGGCACAUCUUCAUUUUAGAUUUAACACAAGGAGCAGUGUCAGCUGGACAAACAUUGUAGCAUGGAAGAAUAACUCCUUGUGCUGCUGGAACUAAUGGGGUAAGUGGUAAGGCC
Molecule: long non-coding RNA, 916 nt
Organism: Mauremys reevesii (Reeves's turtle)
Lineage: Eukaryota; Metazoa; Chordata; Testudines; Geoemydidae
Exons: 3
Source: RefSeq, a predicted model, not a curated record